Molecule: long non-coding RNA, 1128 nt
Organism: Trachymyrmex cornetzi
Lineage: Eukaryota; Metazoa; Arthropoda; Insecta; Hymenoptera; Formicidae
Exons: 3
Source: RefSeq, a predicted model, not a curated record
AGCUUAACGAAUCACAAGUACGAGUUACGAAAGAUCGUUUAGCGAAUUACAAGUACGACCGACACGUUAUCGAAGUACAUUCCGCCGUAAUCCGUUGCGUUUAUCGAUACGUGCUAAUAGUCUCGAGUCUCUUCGGAGAUGUGCUUGCCGUUCCGUCAUUGUGUCAAAUCUAUCUUUGAUUUAUAAGUCGCGCAGUGUAAAGUUGUGUUUAAGAAUAAAGUCAGUGAUCGUUGAAUUUAAAUAACGUGACUGUUUAUUCAAAGCCUUUAUCACGCAGUGACAUCCUGAUCAUAGAACCCGCUUACAGACUAACGAACAUUGAAAUCUAAAUCGUAAAAUAAUAUACGAACUAAUAGUGAAAUAAAAUAUCACUGUUAAUCUUUACAUUCAAAAAUCCCUUACAGUAUUUAUAUCAUCAGUGGGAUAUCUUACAGUCUUCCUUUUUCAAAGCUGUAGAUAUCUUACAAAACAUUGUGCGUUAACCUCUAUAACUACGCGACUCGCGUUUCACGAUUCAUAUAUAUAAAUUGUUACGAUUUAUACUUUUGUGCUGCAAUGAGGCCCAAACGCUGAUCAUGAUCUAUAUAUCGCCACCAUACAUCCUUCCGCUUUAUUUUUUUAUGCAUAUUGACGAGUUUAUUACUGCAAAAACUUAGUUGUUGUCCUGUUGAAAACAAAAGGAACAAAUACGCACAUACAGAUCUAUUUCUUUUAUCUGUUUUCUAAGAGGAGUCACUGGAAUUUCGUUUUUUGACCAUUAUAUUAUACAUUAUAGGAAAUAAUUCCAAUUUUAAAUAUUAUACCAUCAGAUACAAAUUAAAGAUGCAGCUAAAAAGUGUCCGUUCUUUCGAGGACCCGUUGAUAAAAAUGAAAUAAAAACACACAUGCUACAAGUUUUGCGAGCGAUUAAACAACGCUACAAGAAAAAAUGGGACAAAACAAAAAUUCUGGACCCUCUAGAUCAUCAUCAAUUGAACGAUGAAUCUGCAUCUGAUGCUCCAUCAUUAUCCGACGAGGACAGUAAUAGUUCUAAGUACAUUACUGAUGAAGAUUCUGAACAACCCUACUGAAAAAAAAUCACUUCACAAAGUUACAUAACGAUGUAAUUAAAACAAGUAUAUAACUGAU